UCGGGGAUCGUCUAAUGGUAGGACUUCAGGUUUUGAUCCUGACUAUUGGGGUUCGAAUCCCUAUCCCCGAACAA
This 74-nucleotide transfer RNA is filed under the name Candidatus Magasanikbacteria bacterium CG_4_10_14_0_2_um_filter_33_14. RNAcentral describes it as "tRNA-Gln". It matches the Rfam family "tRNA". From Rfam's summary of the family: Transfer RNA (tRNA) molecules are approximately 80 nucleotides in length. Their secondary structure includes four short double-helical elements and three loops (D, anti-codon, and T loops). Further hydrogen bonds mediate the characteristic L-shaped molecular structure. tRNAs have two regions of fundamental functional importance: the anti-codon, which is responsible for specific mRNA codon recognition, and the 3' end, to which the tRNAs corresponding amino acid is attached (by aminoacyl-tRNA synthetases). tRNAs cope with the degeneracy of the genetic code in two manners: having more than one tRNA (with a specific anti-codon) for a particular amino acid; and 'wobble' base-pairing, i.e. permitting non-standard base-pairing at the 3rd anti-codon position. Lineage: Bacteria; Candidatus Magasanikiibacteriota. The record is from RNAcentral.